AGCGAACGCUGGCGGCAGGCUUAACACAUGCAAGUCGAGCGGGCACUUUCGGGUGUCCGCGGCGGACGGGUGAGUAACGCGUGGGAACGUGCCCUCUGGUUCGGAAUAACUCAGGGAAACUUGAGCUAAUACCGGAUACGCCCUUUUGGGGAAAGGCUUGCUGCCGGAGGAUCGGCCCGCGUCUGAUUAGCUAGUUGGUGAGGUAACGGCUCACCAAGGCGACGAUCAGUAGCUGGUCUGAGAGGAUGAUCAGCCACACUGGGGCUGAGACACGGCCCAGACUCCUACGGGAGGCAGCAGUGGGGAAUAUUGGACAAUGGGCGCAAGCCUGAUCCAGCCAUGCCGCGUGAGUGAUGAAGGCCUUAGGGUUGUAAAGCUCUUUUAUCCGGGACGAUAAUGACGGUACCGGAGGAAUAAGCCCCGGCUAACUUCGUG
This 435-nucleotide ribosomal RNA is filed under the name uncultured bacterium. RNAcentral's name for it is "partial 16S ribosomal RNA". It matches the Rfam family "Bacterial small subunit ribosomal RNA", at positions 29 to 507 of the family's 1533-position model. The record is from RNAcentral.